UACAGAGGGUGCAAGCGUUGUUCGGAAUUAUUGGGCGUAAAGCGCGUGUAGGCGGCUUUGCAAGUCGGGUGUGAAAGCCCUCAGCUCAACUGAGGAAGUGCGCCCGAAACUGCAGAGCUUGAAUACCGGAGAGGAUGGCGGAAUUCCCCAAGUAGAGGUGAAAAUGCGUAGAGAUCGGGAGGAACACCUGUGGCGAAGGCGGCCACCUGGGCCGACCCUGACGCUGAGGCGCGAAGGCGUGGGGAGCGAACGGG
This 254-nucleotide ribosomal RNA is filed under the name uncultured bacterium. RNAcentral describes it as "partial 16S ribosomal RNA". It matches the Rfam family "Bacterial small subunit ribosomal RNA", at positions 524 to 776 of the family's 1533-position model. The record is from RNAcentral.